GUCUUUUUGAAUUAAAUUUAAAGUUUGACCUGCCCAUUGAAAUAUUUAAAAGGCUGCGGUAUUUUGACCGUACAAAGGUAGCAUAAUCAUUAGUUUUUUAAUUGGGAACUAGAAUGAAUGGUUGAAUGAGAUAUUAACUUUUUUAAAUAAAUUAUUGAAUUUUACGUUUUAAUUAAAAGGUUAAAAUAAAUUUAAAAGACGAGAAGACCCUAUAGAGUUUUAUAAUUUAAUUUUUAUUUUUUAAAUAGAUUAUUUAAAAUUUUAAAGGUAAAAUUAUUUUAUUGGGGUGAUAAUAAAAUUUAAAAAACUUUUAUUUUUUUUUACAUUAAUAUAUGAAAAAUUGAUCCAUUAUUAAUGAUUAUAAAUUUAAAUUACCUUAGGGAUAACAGCGUAAUUUUUUUUUAAGUUCUUAUUAAUAAAAAAUUUUGCGACCUCGAUGUUGGAUUAAGAUUUUAUUUUAGGUGCAGCAGUUUAAAAUUUAAGUCUGUUCGACUUUUAAAUUCUU
RNAcentral lists this ribosomal RNA (505 nucleotides) under Corynoptera furcifera. RNAcentral describes it as "partial small subunit ribosomal RNA". Lineage: Eukaryota; Metazoa; Arthropoda; Insecta; Diptera; Sciaridae. The record is from RNAcentral.